Molecule: transfer RNA, 64 nt
Filed under: Balta vilis
Lineage: Eukaryota; Metazoa; Arthropoda; Insecta; Blattodea; Pseudophyllodromiidae
Description: tRNA-Phe
Source: RNAcentral
ACUUGAAUAGCUUAUGUAGAGCGUAACAUUGAAGAUGUUAAGGAGAUUUGUUAAUUUUUGAGUA